CCUUGCCAGCCCGCUCAGAACUCAAAGGAAUUGACGGGGCCGCACAAGCGGUGGAGCAUGUGGUUUAAUUUCGAUGAUACGCGAGGAACCUUACCUGGGCUCAAAUGUAUGUUGACGUAUUCUGAAAGGGAUACUUCUUCGGACAAUAUACAAGGUGCUGCAUGGUUGUCGUCAGCUCGUGCCGUGAGGUGUCGGGUUAAGUCCCAUAACGAGCGCAACCCCUAUCAUUAGUUGCCAUCAGGUCAAGCUGGGGACUCUAAUGAAACUGCCUACGCAAGUAGUGAGGAAGGUGGGGAUGACGUCAAAUCAGCACGGCCCUUACGUCCAGGGCUACACACGUGCUACAAUGGCCGGUACAAAGGGCAGCUACCUGGUGACAGGAUGCUAAUCUCAAAAGCCGGUCUCAGUUCGGAUCGGAGUCUGCAACCCGACUCCGUGAAGCUGGAAUCGCUAGUAAUCGUAGAUCAGCACGCUACGGUGAAUACGUUCCCGGGCCUU
Molecule: ribosomal RNA, 498 nt
Filed under: uncultured Sphingobacteriales bacterium
Lineage: Bacteria; Pseudomonadati; Bacteroidota; Sphingobacteriia; Sphingobacteriales
Description: bacterial SSU rRNA
Rfam family: Bacterial small subunit ribosomal RNA
Source: RNAcentral